GCAGCACGGGGGCAACCCUGGUGGCGAGUGGCGAACGGGUGAGUAACAUAUCGGAACGUGCCCUGGAGUGGGGGAUAACUAGUCGAAAGAUUAGCUAAUACCGCAUACGAUCUACGGAUGAAAGUGGGGGAUCGCAAGACCUCAUGCUCGUGGAGCGGCCGAUAUCUGAUUAGCUAGUUGGUGGGGUAAAGGCCUACCAAGGCAUCGAUCAGUAGCUGGUCUGAGAGGACGACCAGCCACACUGGGACUGAGACACGGCCCAGACUCCUACGGGAGGCAGCAGUGGGGAAUUUUGGACAAUGGGCGCAAGCCUGAUCCAGCAAUGCCGCGUGAGUGAAGAAGGCCUUCGGGUUGUAAAGCUCUUUUGUCAGGGAAGAAACGGUGGAGGUUAAUACCUUCUGCUAAUGACGGUACCUGAAGAAUAAGCACCGGCUAACUACGUGCCAGCAGCCGCGGUAAUACGUAGGGUGCAAGCGUUAAUCGGAAUUACUGGGCGUAAAGCGUGCGCAGGCGGUUGUGCAAGACAGAUGUGAAAUCCCCGGGCUCAACCUGGGAAUUGCAUUUGUGACUGUACGGCUAGAGUGUGUCAGAGGGGGGUAGAAUUCCACGUGUAGCAGUGAAAUGCGUAGAGAUGUGGAGGAAUACCGAUGGCGAAGGCAGCCCCCUGGGAUAACACUGACGCUCAUGCACGAAAGCGUGGGGAGCAAACAGGAUUAGAUACCCUGNUAGUCCACGCCCUAAACGAUGUCUACUAGUUGUCGGGUCUUUAUUGACUUGGUAACGCAGCUAACGCGUGAAGUANACCGCCUGGGGAGUACGGUCGCAAGAUUAAAACUCAAAGGAAUUGACGGGGACCCGCACAAGCGGUGGAUGAUGUGGNUUAANUUCGAUGCNNCGCGAAAACNUUACCUACCCUUGAC
Molecule: ribosomal RNA, 920 nt
Filed under: uncultured bacterium
Lineage: Bacteria
Description: bacterial SSU rRNA
Rfam family: Bacterial small subunit ribosomal RNA
Source: RNAcentral